AUUGAACGCUGGCGGCAGGCCUAACACAUGCAAGUCGAACGAGUGGCGGACGGGUGAGUAAUGUCUGGGAAACUGCCUGAUGGAGGGGGAUAACUACUGGAAACUGUAGCUAAUACCGCAUACCAUCGGAUGUGCCCAGAUGGGAUUAGCUAGUUGGUGGGGUAAAGGCUCACCAAGGCGACGAUCCCUAGCUGGUCUGAGAGGAUGACAAGCCACACGGGAACUGAGACACGGUCCAGACUCCUACGGGAGGCAGCAGUGGGGAAUAUUGCACAAUGGGGGCAAGCCUGAUGCAGCCAGGCCGCGUGUAUGAAGAAGGCCUUCGGGUUGUAAAGUACUUUCAGCGGGGAGGCGUUACCUGCAGAAGAAGCACCGGCUAACUCCGUGCCAGCAGCCGCGGUAAUAC
Molecule: ribosomal RNA, 406 nt
Filed under: uncultured bacterium
Lineage: Bacteria
Description: partial 16S ribosomal RNA
Rfam family: Bacterial small subunit ribosomal RNA
Source: RNAcentral